GUAAUGUGCUUCCUUACCAACAGAUGAAAUUUGUAUUAAAUCAAAUCUAGAUGGCGUUCAUGAGAUUCGUAAUUGCUGACAGAUGCAGUAGCAUGACGAUCGCUAGCCCCCCCCCAAACCACUUCACAGCAAAAAUCAACCUUUGGUGAUCCUACCAGUUGCUCUGUAACCGUGAAGGGAGCCAGCUGCCUGAAGGGGGCCAUCCCAGUACCUCAAGCAGAAGUCCAUGCUUUGAGUAGCACAGGGCUGCCCUGAGCAGGAGGACAGGCAGAGGAAGAGGUGCAUCGUCAUGGCCUGAAGGAGAGAAGAGGACAGCAGUAAACAUGGGCUUUCAGACAGUGGGAAAUUCUACAUGGACAAGAGCACAUUCAAGUACAGUAAACUCUCACUAAAUCUGGUUGCAGUUUAAUCUCGAUCAAAAUAUGAGAAAUGCUGUUCACAGGUGAGUACAUACUUUAAAAGAUGCAUGGCAUUUAGGAAGGCAGAUCAGUCAGACAAAACUUGACAGUUUCUUCAAAACUGCAUUAUUACAUUAAAAAACAAGUAAACUUCUGAGUCUUCCACCAAUGAAUAAAGGUACUGGCUCUUUACAGCGCCAUGAUUUAGGAGUUACUAUAGCUGGAGUAUGGAUUUACUGAUCACUUCCAGAUCAUAACUACAAAUAAUUAUAACACUAUCGCCAAUUUCCACACUUUACAAAUGCUGAGUCUUCUCCAGCCUGCAGUGUCUUCACUAGUCAUUGCUUGGUAACAUCUCACAACAAUGGAGACUCUUCAGUAUCUGUGCUCACAUUGUUACUGUUCGGCAAAUCUCCCACAACUGAUUGUCAACUUAUAUUACAAUGCCAUCUCUACUCAGCUUCCCUUGCAGAAAUCAACUGAACUGACUACUGUCUAAUUCCUAGGCUGGCAGCCAUUUCACACCAACCUCCUACAGGCUCUUCACCUCCUACAGUCUUCUCU
Long non-coding RNA from Cryptotermes secundus, 962 nucleotides. RefSeq lists it as uncharacterized. The transcript has 4 exons. The record is from RefSeq and is a predicted model, not a curated record. NCBI's taxonomy places the organism in Eukaryota, Metazoa, Arthropoda, Insecta, Blattodea, Kalotermitidae.